This 751-nucleotide ribosomal RNA is filed under the name Hylophorbus sp. 'Binigun'. RNAcentral describes it as "partial small subunit ribosomal RNA". The stretch from base 1 to 505 matches the Rfam family "Bacterial small subunit ribosomal RNA", at positions 796 to 1533 of the family's 1533-position model. Lineage: Eukaryota; Metazoa; Chordata; Amphibia; Anura; Microhylidae. The record is from RNAcentral.
CUAGCUGUAAAAUAUUAACCCACACCACAAACUCGCCAGGGAAUUACGAGCCCAAGCUUAAAACCCAAAGGACUUGACGGUCUCCCACCCCCCUAGAGGAGCCUGUUCUAUAAUCGAUUUUCCCCGAUCAACCUCACCACCUCUUGAACAUACAGCCUGUAUACCUCCGUCGCAAGCUUACCCUAUGAAAGCAUAUUUAGUGAGCUUAAAGAUUUUACACCCACACGUCAGGUCAAGGUGCAGCCCAUGAGCUGGAAAGAAAUGGGCUACAAUUUCUACUUUAGAACAGACGAAAGACUGCAUGAAACACAGUCAUUGAAGGCGGAUUUAGUAGUAAAAAGAAAAUAGAGAGUUCUUUUUAAUUGGGCACUAGGAUGCGUACACACCGCCCGUCACCCUCUUCAAACAAUAAUUUUUUAGCGUUUAUAACCUCAUGUAUUUUUACAGAAGAGGCAAGUCGUAACAUGGUAAGCGUACUGGAAAGUGCGCUUGGAACAAAAUGUAGCUUAAUAAAAGUAUCUUGCUUACACCAAGAACAUGCCUGUAAAAAUCUGACCAUUUUGAGCCUAAAACCCAGCCCUAUUUUUAGCAAAUGCAACACCCACUAACAAAGAACUAAACUAAAACAUUUUCUUAACCAAGUAAAGGCGAUUAAAAAGUUUAUAGGAGCCCCAACACCAGUACCGUAAGGGAAAAGUGAAAUAAAAUUGAAAUAAAUUUAAAGCAUAUUGAAGUAGGGGUUAAGCCCCGU